Molecule: long non-coding RNA, 1285 nt
Filed under: Mytilus galloprovincialis (Mediterranean mussel)
Lineage: Eukaryota; Metazoa; Mollusca; Bivalvia; Mytilida; Mytilidae
Source: RNAcentral
GUUUAAAAUCUGUAUUUCUUAAGAAUAUCACAACUUUCAUAAAUACAACCUAUUUUCAUGUUUGUAAUGUUCUAUAAAUAUUGUUCACAAAUUUGUAUCAAACAAGCCCUCAAAAGUUAUUUUUUUACAAACUUGUAGAAAAUAAGUCUUUGAAAUCUAACAAAGGUCAACAAAUCUCAUACAAAACAAAGUAUUAAAAUCUGAGUAAAAGUUACAAAACAAAAUAUAUAAUAACUUGAUCUUAGCAAUAAAAACAUAAACAUUACAUCUUAGGCACAGAAAAACAUAACAUCGUAAUGUCAACGGUGGGAAACUGUAUUGUAUAAGUGGGUUGUCUGAAGCAUAAAAUCUACAUACAACAUUCCAAGUCUAAAUCUCAUAUAAUUUAUAUCUCUCUUAACAGUUUGGGGGCUCUGAUCAUAUAUGAAAAGGGUUGUCUUGUGUUUGUAUUUAUAAUUUGUAUACUGUGUAUUAUAAUAGUUUUAAAGAAACAUAUUCCUACAUUCUCUGGCUGCCAUCUUGGAUGGUAUAUAGAACUAGUAUUUUUGAUAUCUAUCAAGAAAACUAACAAAUCUCCAAUUGGAGAUGAAGGCAAAUAAUUUAUAUCCAAAAAAAUCUCAUGUAGCAAUCUAGGAUACUAGGUUUCGUUUUCUCAUAAUGUUCUUAAAGAAUCUAUCCAGAUUUCAUUGUACCAAAGUUUGAUUUCAAUAAGCAAAAGUAGUUAAAAGGAAAAUUGUAUUGCUGCUUUUAACAAGAAACAAAGGGAAGAUUCAUAAGGAGAAAUAGCUCAUGCUGGUCAUUUGUGCAUAGAAAGCUGAAAUCAUUAAAAAUCCAGGAGAAAUAUACCUUAUUUCUGUUAAGUAGCAGGAUACUUGAUGAAAACUUAAAAUACAAAAUGAAACUUUUGUGUACUUUAACAGUGCAUUUGCUGGAUUAGACCCUGUGUAAAAGUUCCAAUCAAUUAAAAUUUUCAAUUGUAACAUAUACAAUUAUAAGUACACAUAAUUAUUAAGUAAAUGACCAGAAAAUUGUUUUGAUUUUUUAAUAUUUGUAAAAAUAGAUAUAAAACUAUAACAAAACAUAAUAAGAGUGAAAGAAUCUAACAACAAAACUGUACAAAAACUAAUUUCCACUGUAUAGACUUAAAAAAGAGGGGUGGAAAGAUACCAGAGGGACAGUCAAAGUCAUAGAUCGUAAAUAAACUGACAAUAUGAUAUUAUAUAUAAAAAAAACAUAAAAAGAAGAAACAAAAAAAUAUUACCUUAAGUUUAAAAAUCAGAAACCC